RNAcentral lists this ribosomal RNA (1394 nucleotides) under uncultured bacterium. Its description in RNAcentral is "bacterial SSU rRNA". It matches the Rfam family "Bacterial small subunit ribosomal RNA". The record is from RNAcentral.
GAGUUUGAUCCUGGCUCAGGAUGAACGCUAGCUACAGGCUUAACACAUGCAAGUCGAGGGGCAGCGGGAAGUCAGCUUGCUGACUUUGCCGGCGACCGGCGCACGGGUGAGUAGCGCGUAUCCAACCUUCCGUUUGCUCAGGGAUAGCCUUUCGAAAGAAAGAUUAAUACCUGAUAGUAUGGUAAGAUUGCAUGAUAAUACCAUUAAAGAUUCAUUGGUAAACGAUGGGGAUGCGUUCCAUUAGGUAGUAGGCGGGGUAACGGCCCACCUAGCCAACGAUGGAUAGGGGUUCUGAGAGGAAGGUCCCCCACAUUGGAACUGAGACACGGUCCAAACUCCUACGGGAGGCAGCAGUGAGGAAUAUUGGUCAAUGGGCGAGAGCCUGAACCAGCCAAGUAGCGUGAAGGAUGAAGGUUCUAUGGAUUGCAAACUUCUUUUAUAAGGGAAUAAAGUGCUUUACGUGUAGAGUUUUGUAUGUACCUUAUGAAUAAGCAUCGGCUAACUCCGUGCCAGCAGCCGCGGUAAUACGGAGGAUGCGAGCGUUAUCCGGAUUUAUUGGGUUUAAAGGGAGCGUANACGGGAUGUUAAGUCAGCUGUGAAAGUUUGGGGCUCAACCUUAAAAUUGCAGUUGAAACUGGCGUUCUUGAGUGCGGUAGAGGCAGGCGGAAUUCGUGGUGUAGCGGUGAAAUGCUUAGAUAUCACGAAGAACUCCAAUUGCGAAGGCAGCUUGCUGGAGCGUAACUGACGUUGAUGCUCGAAAGUGUGGGUAUCANACAGGAUUAGAUACCCUGGUAGUCCACACGGUAAACGAUGGAUACUCGCUGUUGGCGAUAUACUGUCAGCGGCCAAGCGAAAGCAUUAAGUAUCCCACCUGGGGAGUACGCCGGCAACGGUGAAACUCAAAGGAAUUGACGGGGGCCCGCACAAGCGGAGGAACAUGUGGUUUAAUUCGAUGAUACGCGAGGAACCUUACCCGGGCUUAAAUUAUGCAUGAAUGAUCUGGAGACAGAUCAGCCGCAAGGCAUGUAUGAAGGUGCUGCAUGGUUGUCGUCAGCUCGUGCCGUGAGGUGUCGGCUUAAGUGCCAUAACGAGCGCAACCCUUUCUGCCAAUUACUAACAGGCAAUGCUGAGGACUCUGGCGGUACUGCCAUCGUAAGAUGUGAGGAAGGUGGGGAUGACGUCAAAUCAGCACGGCCCUUACGUCCGGGGCUACACACGUGUUACAAUGGGGGGUACAGAAGGCCGCUUACCGGCGACGGUUGGCCAAUCCCGAAAGCCCCUCUCAGUUCGGACUGGAGUCUGCAACCCGACUCCACGAAGCUGGAUUCGCUAGUAAUCGCGCAUCAGCCACGGCGCGGUGAAUACGUUCCCGGGCCUUGUACACACCGCCCGUC